CAAAGUGCUAACCGGAAUGCCGGGAGCUGCGACCGGUAAAACGCCGGCACAGGCAGUCCUAGGACAGAGAAAGCGACGGCCCCGCGCGACCCUGAAACUUUGCGCUCGGCGCAAUUACUGGCACCGCAAUCCGAAAACUAUCCGGUGGGCGCUGCUAGUGAGAGUCGUGCUGAGAAACGGGCGGCUGGUCGCAAGGAGCGGCGCUGCCACCGAGGAACACCUGGCUUGGCCCAAGGAGACGAGCUGCCAGCCAGACCCGCGGUUUUGUCGAAUCCAGCGGGACUGGGACCGCAACAUCCUGCAGAACGAAAAGAGGAGCGCUGCCAGCGAAAUACACCCAGCUCUGCGCAACCGGUGCUACCGCGACCCACAAGGCGCCAGCCAGGCUCUGCCGGAAACCGCGGCCUACAAACCUCGGCCGGUGCACCUAGUGGCGCCAAGGCUGACAAACGCCCACGCGGAGCGCCUACUGGUGCUGGGACCAGCAAGGGCCAGCACGCAGCACAGAGCAGUGCAGCGUCCCGGAAACAUCCGGCUCUGCGAAGGGAGCGGUGCCGCCCCCAAGGCACCGACCGGGGCUGGGCGCUGCCGGCGAAAGUACUAACGAGAAACCGCCGCCUCGGUUCACCCUUCGGAGCCGCGCGCGCGAUCCGCUGCUCGGAGGAAAGAGCGGUGCUGGGGCGCAGCAAAUGGCUGUCGUGAAUCAAAGACAAGCAUCCGUCUUCGCGGGAUCAGCUGUGCUGCCAGCGAGUAACCACCAGCUCCGACAAUGAGCGGCAGCGCCAGUGGGAAACCGUCGGUAUCUGAAAUGAGCGGUGCCGCCGCAAAUAAACUGGCAGCUUGGUGCUACUCGUCAAAGCGCUGCAGAGGAGACUCCGAUAAAGGCUCAGCCCUAAACUGAUCUCUCCUUCCUGCUUCUACUUCCUGACCAAAACCUGGUGCUCCUUCUGUGGCCCUGCGUGAUGCCUCCACGACAUGGCUGAUGAGUGGAGUAUGUCUGCACCCAAGACCUGAACCUGUGAACCCGGACACCAAAGUGGAGCGUGCAGAAGUUCAACCACUCAGCCAUGGGCCAGCCCCCAUGCUCAUGAUUUUUAGAUGAGAAAAAGAUAAAUGUAAAAGAAAAGAACAAAUUCCCCUUGACAUUUCAUCUUAAAAUUUUAGCAUUCCUUUCUUAUAAGCCCUUUCACCAAGGAUUAAAUAAGUUAUUUAAAUCAAAA
RNAcentral lists this long non-coding RNA (1220 nucleotides) under Equus asinus (donkey). RNAcentral describes it as "lncRNA (ENSEASG00005026786.1)". The record is from RNAcentral. Lineage: Eukaryota; Metazoa; Chordata; Mammalia; Perissodactyla; Equidae.